RNAcentral lists this long non-coding RNA (326 nucleotides) under Lathyrus oleraceus (garden pea). RNAcentral's name for it is "Pisum sativum (pea) long non-coding RNA (PSAT_LNC032414)". Lineage: Eukaryota; Viridiplantae; Streptophyta; Magnoliopsida; Fabales; Fabaceae. The record is from RNAcentral.
AUAUUCAAAUUGUUUUACAGUAUUACAGUAGAUUCUCCAUACCCUAAACUUCUCGUUGUGCGCUUCUCACAGGUUGCCAUCUUCGUCUUUACUUGCGCAAUUGCUUUUGAUUUUCUGGAUUUUGCAUCGGUUAGGUUUAGUUUGUAUUCUCGGUUUUUCAGAUUUGAUUUUAUUGUGAUAGUUUGAAACUUUGUUUUUGGGUUCUAGAAAAAGAGCGAUGGUGUUCAAAACAGGUACAUGGUGAUGGAGGUUUUUAUGAAUCCUAAUAGGAAAGAUCGGGUGAUUCUAUUAUAAUUACUCAGUUUAAUAUCUCUAAUGCUAUAAAA